Non-coding RNA from Microtus oregoni (creeping vole), 372 nucleotides. Lineage: Eukaryota; Metazoa; Chordata; Mammalia; Rodentia; Cricetidae. The record is from the annotation of a RefSeq genome assembly.
AUGGACGUGAGGCUGAGCUUGAUUUUCGUUUUUGCUCUUUUCAAAGGUGUCCAGUGUGAUGUGCAGCUGGUGGAGACGGGGGGAGGCUUGGUACAGCCAGGAGGGUCUCUAAAGCUCUCUUGUGCAGCCUCUGGAUUCACAUUCAGUGACUCCUGGAUGCACUGGGUCCGCCAGGCACCAGGGAAGGGCCUAGAGUGGGUUGGUAGAAUUAAACACAAAAGUAAUAAUUAUGCAACACAGUAUGCAGCAUCUGUGAAAGGCAGAUUCACCAUCUCAAGAGAUGAUUCCAAAAGCAUGCUCUACCUGCAAAUGAACAGCGUAAGAGUUGAAGACACUGCCAUUUAUUACUGUACUAUAAACACAGUGAGAUGA